RNAcentral lists this long non-coding RNA (231 nucleotides) under Olea europaea (common olive). RNAcentral describes it as "long non-coding RNA (OEUR_LNC010247)". Lineage: Eukaryota; Viridiplantae; Streptophyta; Magnoliopsida; Lamiales; Oleaceae. The record is from RNAcentral.
AAUAUGAAAAAAAAAUGAUAGGAAAGCAAGUCUCAAGUUUCCAAUGUUCAAGAAUCCAAACAUAAACAGAAAUUGUCUAAAAAGAUGUUGGGGAUUGAAGAAGAUGAGGGGGAACUAGUUGAUCUUGUAGAUCUAGAUUUUGAGCAUGUGGAUGAAGAGGAUGAUUUUAUUGCACAUAUCUUAGGCAAGUUUAUGACUUAUUUUGAAAGCAGUUUUUUUAAGGAUGGGAUC